Molecule: non-coding RNA, 116 nt
Organism: Sturnus vulgaris (Common starling)
Lineage: Eukaryota; Metazoa; Chordata; Aves; Passeriformes; Sturnidae
Source: RefSeq, a predicted model, not a curated record
GGUCCUGCUGGUGGUCGGUGACAACUCCCCCCACGAGGACGCCGUGGUGGAGUGCAACGCCAAACUGGACCCGACACAAACAUCCUUCCUGAAGAUGGCCGACGGCGGCGGGCAGC